RNAcentral lists this transfer RNA (72 nucleotides) under Candida tropicalis. Its description in RNAcentral is "tRNA-Pro (TGG) (tRNA-Pro-TGG-1-1, tRNA-Pro-TGG-1-2)". It matches the Rfam family "tRNA". Rfam says of the family: Transfer RNA (tRNA) molecules are approximately 80 nucleotides in length. Their secondary structure includes four short double-helical elements and three loops (D, anti-codon, and T loops). Further hydrogen bonds mediate the characteristic L-shaped molecular structure. tRNAs have two regions of fundamental functional importance: the anti-codon, which is responsible for specific mRNA codon recognition, and the 3' end, to which the tRNAs corresponding amino acid is attached (by aminoacyl-tRNA synthetases). tRNAs cope with the degeneracy of the genetic code in two manners: having more than one tRNA (with a specific anti-codon) for a particular amino acid; and 'wobble' base-pairing, i.e. permitting non-standard base-pairing at the 3rd anti-codon position. RNAcentral also lists the same sequence under 15 other names. Lineage: Eukaryota; Fungi; Ascomycota; Pichiomycetes; Serinales; Debaryomycetaceae. The record is from RNAcentral.
GGGCGAAUGGUCUAGUGGUAUGAUUCCUCGUUUGGGUCGAGGAGGUCCGGGGUUCAAUUCCCCGUUUGCCCC